UACGUAGGGGGCAAGCGUUAUCCGGAAUUACUGGGUGUAAAGGGAGCGUAGACGGCAAUGCAAGUCAGAUGUGAAAGCCCGGGGCUCAACCGCGGGACUGCAUUUGAAACUGUAUUUCUUGAGUGCUGGAGAGGCAAUCGGAAUUCCGUGUGUAGCGGUGAAAUGCGUAGAUAUACGGAGGAACACCAGUGGCGAAGGCGGCCUGCUGGACGGUGACUGACGCUGAGGCUCGAAAGCGUGGGGAGCAA
This 248-nucleotide ribosomal RNA is filed under the name uncultured Eubacterium sp. Its description in RNAcentral is "partial 16S ribosomal RNA". It matches the Rfam family "Bacterial small subunit ribosomal RNA", at positions 524 to 771 of the family's 1533-position model. Lineage: Bacteria; Bacillati; Bacillota; Clostridia; Eubacteriales; Eubacteriaceae. The record is from RNAcentral.